RNAcentral lists this transfer RNA (70 nucleotides) under Camelus bactrianus (Bactrian camel). It matches the Rfam family "tRNA". From Rfam's summary of the family: Transfer RNA (tRNA) molecules are approximately 80 nucleotides in length. Their secondary structure includes four short double-helical elements and three loops (D, anti-codon, and T loops). The record is from Rfam by way of RNAcentral. Lineage: Eukaryota; Metazoa; Chordata; Mammalia; Artiodactyla; Camelidae. RNAcentral also lists the same sequence under 2 other names.
GAGGGUGUGGUUCAGUGGUAGAGCACGUGCUUGGCAUGCAUGAGGCCCGGUUCAAUCCCCAACACCUCCC